Long non-coding RNA from Suricata suricatta (meerkat), 450 nucleotides. RefSeq lists it as uncharacterized. The record is from RefSeq and is a predicted model, not a curated record. The transcript has 2 exons. NCBI's taxonomy places the organism in Eukaryota, Metazoa, Chordata, Mammalia, Carnivora, Herpestidae.
UCAUGAUGGAUUUCUUAAUGGACCUAUUUCCCUUCAGGACUGCACAUGAUGCUGGUGAUGGACAAUGUUCUCACCAAUGUUGACAUCCACAAGACUGGACACCAGCUCUCAGCAUUCUGUUCACCAAAGAGGAAUUCAACUUAAACAUGAAUCCUUUCUGGGAGAAGAGAUGAUUCAGAACUAAAGGAAUAUGGAAUAAACAAUGAGAUUAUCAGUUACAAGACUUCAUCAAAGAGACCUACUUGGCACAGGGUCCAGCAGAACAACUCUGAAGCACAUAGCCUAUGAGCUUAUCCUACAUUUCUCUAUGCAGCUCACCAUAUAUUCUGUAUCACAACAUGUAUCUUCAACAUGUAUCUCUGUUGAUGCAACAUGACCACAGGCAUUAACCUCACCAGCAGGCACUAACAAUAAAAUGUGUCAGCAAUAAAAACAAGAUUAUUCCAAGGU